CUACGGGAUGCUCCAGUGAGGAAUAUUGCACAAUGGGGAAACCCUGAUGCAGCAACGCCGCGUGGAGGAUGACGCAUUUCGGUGUGUAAACUCCUUUUAUGAGUCAAGAAAAUGACGGUAGCUCAUGAAUAAGCACCGGCUAACUCCGUGCCAGCAGCCGCGGUAAAACGGAGGGUGCAAGCGUUACUCGGAAUCACUGGGCGUAAAGGACGCGUAGGCGGGAUGUCAGGUCAGGUGUGAAAUCCUAUGGCUCAACCAUAGAACUGCACUUGAAACUGGCAACCUAGAGUAUGGGAGGGGGAGAUGGAAUUAGUGGUGUAGGGGUAAAAUCCGUAGAUAUCACUAGGAAUACCGAAAGCGAAGGCGAUCUCCUGGAACAUUACUGACGCUAAGGCGUGAAAGCGUGGGGAGCAAACAGGAUUAGAUACCCUUGUAGUC
This 438-nucleotide ribosomal RNA is filed under the name uncultured bacterium. RNAcentral's name for it is "partial 16S ribosomal RNA". It matches the Rfam family "Bacterial small subunit ribosomal RNA", at positions 339 to 795 of the family's 1533-position model. The record is from RNAcentral.